This 460-nucleotide ribosomal RNA is filed under the name uncultured bacterium. RNAcentral's name for it is "partial 16S ribosomal RNA". It matches the Rfam family "Bacterial small subunit ribosomal RNA", at positions 338 to 795 of the family's 1533-position model. The record is from RNAcentral.
CCUACGGGUGACAACAGUGAGGAAUAUUGGUCAAUGGACGGAAGUCUGAACCAGCCAUGCCGCGUGCAGGAAGACGGCCCUAUGAGUUGUAAACUGCUUUUGUACAAGGGUAAACCUGAAUACGUGUAUUCAGCUGAAAGUACUGUACGAAUAAGGAUCGGCUAACUCCGUGCCAGCAGCCGCGGUAAUACGGAGGAUCCAAGCGUUAUCCGGAUUUAUUGGGUUUAAAGGGUGCGUAGGCGGAUUGAUAAGUUAGAGGUGAAAUGUCCGAGCUUAACUCGGGAACUGCAGUUGAUACUGUUAGUCUGGAGAGUAGGUGCGGUAGGCGGAAUGUAUGGUGUAGCGGUGAAAUGCUUAGAGAUCAGACAGAACACCGAUUGCGAAGGCAGCUUACCAAUCUAUAUCUGACGUUGAGGCACGAAAGCGUGGGGAGCAAACAGGAUUAGAUACCCGGGUAGUC